This 864-nucleotide long non-coding RNA is filed under the name Elaeis guineensis (African oil palm). Its description in RNAcentral is "long non-coding RNA (EGUI_LNC010419)". The record is from RNAcentral. Lineage: Eukaryota; Viridiplantae; Streptophyta; Magnoliopsida; Arecales; Arecaceae.
GACAGAUAGUAUAGUUGCCUAUACUCUGCUCAGGAGGCGUGAUUGAUUGAUACGAGACUAAAGCGAGAUCAAUCUAAAUGAUACAGAUGAAUGCCAUUCGAGAGAUCAGUAAAUAACUAGUAAUAGAGAAUUUCAUAAACAGAUAGCAGAAAUUAAACAUGCUCAUGAGUAAAUGCAAAAAGAAAUAAGAAUGGAACGAGAGAAAAUAAAACAUUAAAUCUGUGAGAAAAUCUAAGAAGAUGAUAAGAAUUCGGAUCGUAGUAGUUAAGAAACUACUCUGAUUAGGGCUCUUAAUCUUUUAACCAAACAGAUCCAUCGAUAAAGAACUAGAUCUUUACCAACAUCGGAUUAAAAAAAAAUCAAAGAUCAACUGUUAAGGAACGAAGGUCCUUGACAGCAUAUGAUUUGUAGAAUAAGAAAUCACUCCUUCUCCCAGCACGACAGAUGAAAAUUCUGGAGGAGACAGAUCUUCUCUUGACGGAAUAGGCUUGCGUGGGUAGAUGGUGGAGUCGAUCAGAGUCGCAGGAACACUGGAUCUUAAGUAAGAGUAGGAUAGAAAGUGGGCCUCACACCCUCCCCUUGUGGGGCGAUUUUGGGUCUCACACCUUCUCCCUCUCGGAGCGAUUGACACAAGUAUUUGUGAAGUUUGUAAAAUCAUUCAUUGUCUUCUUCAUGAAAGAUACAAGGAUUUAUAUAGGACUCUAAGGGUCCUGUUUGUUUAGGAAUCUCUUAUCUUUUACAAGAAAGAAAUCAACCAUCCACAAAAAAGUAAAGCAUUAUAAUCUACCAUGGGAAAGAAAUCAGCCUUCAACAAAAUAAGUAAGUAGUCAAGAACUCUUAAGGAAUUCUAAGGAAGAAAUGGAA